Molecule: long non-coding RNA, 439 nt
Filed under: Setaria viridis
Lineage: Eukaryota; Viridiplantae; Streptophyta; Magnoliopsida; Poales; Poaceae
Description: long non-coding RNA (SVIR_LNC005498)
Source: RNAcentral
GCGGAGAACUGGUAGUGCACCUUGAUGACGUCCCCGUUAUCGUCGUCGUCGUCCGGCGUCGACAUGCCGAGGCUUCCACGUAAAGACAUGCUAGCUAACGAGCUUGGAGGAAAUGGGGAGACGGCGGUGGUUUUAGAGGACGAACUCAGAGAUUGGAGGACUCAUGGACAUGCAAAACUGGGGAUAUUUAAGUUUUUGCCAUCAUAAGGGAUGGUCACUUUUGCAAAUGACCUAACAAUUUUGCCACUGGUGAGAGAAGGAUUUUAACAUCUUUACCAAAUUCGCCUACGGUUGCAUGACACGUUGGGUCGACAGCUUAUCCAGCCCACAUGAAAUGUCACUUCUGCCCCCACCUUAUCCUUUACCUCCCCCGCACCAGACCAAGCCCUUUGACCCAGCCGAUGCCUCCUUCUCUUUCCCGCCGCCAUCUCCUCCCCCU